RNAcentral lists this unclassified non-coding RNA (326 nucleotides) under uncultured Dothideomycetes. RNAcentral's name for it is "sequence contains ITS1". The stretch from base 1 to 105 matches the Rfam family "5.8S ribosomal RNA", at positions 50 to 154 of the family's 154-position model. The record is from RNAcentral. Lineage: Eukaryota; Fungi; Ascomycota; Dothideomycetes.
GAAAUGCGAUAAGUAAUGUGAAUUGCAGAAUUCAGUGAAUCAUCGAAUCUUUGAACGCACAUUGCGCCCUCCGGUAUUCCGGAGGGCACACCUGUUCGAGCGCUAGUUAAGACAAUUCAAGCCCUGCUUGGCGUUGGGGAACGCGCCCUACCCAGCCCUCUAGCGGCGGGACGGGGCGGCCCCGAAACCCAUGGGCGCCGCCGCCCGGCUCCGAGCGUAGCAAGCGAAAGCCCUCGCUCCGGACCGCCGGGUCGGUGGCCGCCGGUAAACCUCAUUUUUACCACAAUCUUAGCCUCGGAUCAGGUGGGGAUACCCGCUGAACUUAA